Wyeomyia smithii (pitcher-plant mosquito) is the source of this 333-nucleotide long non-coding RNA. RefSeq lists it as uncharacterized. The record is from RefSeq and is a predicted model, not a curated record. The transcript is spliced from 3 exons. NCBI's taxonomy places the organism in Eukaryota, Metazoa, Arthropoda, Insecta, Diptera, Culicidae.
CAAAUAGAUAUUGUAAAAGCAGGAAGGUAAAAGAGAUUCUAGCGUGGCUUAAGAUAGAAUUUACGGAAAUUAGUAGCAAACUUGAUAGUAAAAGUAAAGUUCGGGAAGAUAGAUCAGUUGAAAGUGAAAGUCGGUGGUGAUAAUUCAGGCAGUUUAUGGUUGGGAAAUUCGCAUGCAAGGAAAAACUAGAUUUUUGAAGCUGUUUAAAGUAAAACUGCUGUGCGAAACUGUUUUUACUUGUCUUCACCUAAACCAGGCUUGUCCAACCUACGUGGGCCAAAUUUCACAGUCAGCUGUCGGGCCAAAAUUAGGAAAACUUUCAAUUUUCAGCUG